GACGCAGCGGCGCCGCGUGAGCGAAGAAGGCUUUCGAGUCGUAAAGCUCUGUAAUAAGGGAAGAACGCUGUAUAUACGAAGAGUAUAUGCAGCUGACAGUACCUUAACAACAGCCCCGGCUAACUACGUGCCAGCAGCCGCGGUAACACGUAGGGGGCGAGCGUUGUCCGGAAUCACUGGGCGUAAAGGGUACGUAGGCGGAUAUAUAAGUCAAAUGUGAAAGGCACCGGCUUAACCGGUGAGCUGCAUUUGAAACUGUAUAUCUUGAGUUCAGGAGAGGAGAGUGGAAUUCCUGGUGUAGCGGUGGAAUGCGUAGAUAUCAGGAAGAACACCAGUGGCGAAGGCGGCUCUCUGGCCUGAAACUGACGCUCAGGUACGAAAGCUGGGGUAGCAAACG
Molecule: ribosomal RNA, 397 nt
Filed under: uncultured Clostridia bacterium
Lineage: Bacteria; Bacillati; Bacillota; Clostridia
Description: bacterial SSU rRNA
Rfam family: Bacterial small subunit ribosomal RNA
Source: RNAcentral